This 463-nucleotide ribosomal RNA is filed under the name uncultured bacterium. Its description in RNAcentral is "bacterial SSU rRNA". It matches the Rfam family "Bacterial small subunit ribosomal RNA", at positions 29 to 523 of the family's 1533-position model. The record is from RNAcentral.
AACGAACGCUGGCGGCGUGCCUAACACAUGCAAGUCGAACGGAUCCUUCGGGACUAGUGGCGGACGGGUGAGUAACACGUGGGAACGUGCCCUUUGGUUCGGAACAACUCAGGGAAACUUGAGCUAAUACCGGAUGUGCCCUUCGGGGAAAGAUUUAUCGCCAUUGGAGCGGCCCGCGUCUGAUUAGCUAGUUGGUGAGGUAAAGGCUCACCAAGGCGACGAUCAGUAGCUGGUCUGAGAGGAUGAUCAGCCACACUGGCACUGAGAUACGGGCCAGACUCCUACGGGAGGCAGCAGUAGGGAAUAUUGGUCAAUGGAUGCAAGUCUGAACCAGCCAUGCCGCGUGCAGGAAGAAGGGCCUUCUGGUGUAACUGCUUUGCCAGGGGAUAAAAUUUCCAUGCGUGGAAACUGAAGGUACCUGGUGAAUAAGCCACGGCUAACUACGUGCCAGCAGCCGCGGUAA